GUGGGGAAUCUUCCGCAAUGGACGAAAGUCUGACGGAGCAACGCCGCGUGAGUGAAGAAGGUUUUCGGAUCGUAAAGCUCUUUCGUUAGGGACGAACGUGCUCUUUGUGAAUAAUGAGGAGUAAUGACGGUACCUAAAUAAGAAGCCACGGCUAACUACGUGCCAGCAGCCGCGGUAAUACGUAGGUGGCAAGCGUUGUCCGGAAUUAUUGGGCGUAAAGCGCGCGCAGGCGGGAUAUCAAGUCUGUCUUAAAAGUGCGAGGCUCAACCUCGUGAGGGGACAGAAACUGGGAGUCUUGGGUGUCGGAGAGGAAAGUGGAAUUCCAAGUGUAGCGGUGAAAUGCGUAGAGAUUUGGAAGAACACCAGUGGCGAAGGCGACUUUCUGGACGAUGUCGGACGCUGAGGCGCGAAAGCUAGGGGAGCGAACGGGAUUAGAAACCCGUGUAGUCC
Molecule: ribosomal RNA, 450 nt
Filed under: uncultured bacterium
Lineage: Bacteria
Description: partial 16S ribosomal RNA
Rfam family: Bacterial small subunit ribosomal RNA
Source: RNAcentral